Harmonia axyridis is the source of this 708-nucleotide long non-coding RNA. RefSeq lists it as uncharacterized. The transcript is spliced from 4 exons. The record is from RefSeq and is a predicted model, not a curated record. NCBI's taxonomy places the organism in Eukaryota, Metazoa, Arthropoda, Insecta, Coleoptera, Coccinellidae.
UAAAAAGCCUCAAGUAAAAUUUAAAAGAAAAAUAUAUUCAGCAGAUAGGAGUAUUUGAUUUACUUCUUUUGAGUGCCAUAAUAUUAUAGAAAACACAAUAGGCGCUAAAGAUAAAAUCACGCAUUCCUGCAUCGAAUUAAUUUCCAUUGUCUUAAAGCUUAAUUUCAACAUUCUUCAACAUAAAGAUUCUCAGAAAUAAGACCUUGGCAUCACACACAAUAUCGAUCUAACUGGUUUAAUUUAGAUGGAUUAUCUGCAGUUGGCACCUUAGAACAAUGAAAGUGCAUUGAUACAUUUUUUUAAUGUUUUCAGGUUGACACAUAAUGAUUAGGACAUUAUAUUGCACAAUUCCCAAGUCCUACUAGAUAAGGAUUCUAUUCAAUUAAUACAAUUCAAUAAAAGAUUCUUCUUGACAUUGCCUUUAAUGCAUAUUAUCAAUUUCGAAGCAACAAAAAUUGGCGAUCUACAAUGACAUAAUUUUCUUAAAAAAAAUUCAAGGUUGUACAAGAUAUAAGACUUGAGUAGUACAAGUUAGAAGAAUUAUUUGAGAUCAGUUAGUUAUGUUAAAUUAAAUAGGUAAAACAUAAAAAUCCUAGAAGGCCAGUACAACAUCAUGAAUGAUUUUCAAUAAGAUGAAUUCAUGUUGGAACAGUUCAUAUUUAUCUAAUCCUGAACAGCAAUGAAUGAAAUAAAGAUAUGCCAACUAUG